This 253-nucleotide ribosomal RNA is filed under the name uncultured bacterium. RNAcentral describes it as "partial 16S ribosomal RNA". It matches the Rfam family "Bacterial small subunit ribosomal RNA", at positions 524 to 776 of the family's 1533-position model. The record is from RNAcentral.
UACGUAGGGGGCAAGCGUUGUCCGGAAUCAUUGGGCGUAAAGCGUGUGUAGGCGGCGGGCUAAGUAUCUUGUGAAAUCCCACGGCUUAACUGUGGAACUGCUGGGUAUACUGGUUCGCUUGAGCGGUCUAGGGGCGAGCGGAACAAAUGGUGGAGCGGUGAAAUGCGUAGAUAUCAUUUGGAACGCCAACGGUGAAAACAGCUCGCUGGGGACCUGCUGACGCUGAGACACGAAAGCCAGGGGAGCGAACGGG